RNAcentral lists this long non-coding RNA (1239 nucleotides) under Gossypium barbadense (sea-island cotton). Its description in RNAcentral is "long non-coding RNA (GBAR_LNC000825)". The record is from RNAcentral. Lineage: Eukaryota; Viridiplantae; Streptophyta; Magnoliopsida; Malvales; Malvaceae.
CCAAACAUUUCCUUCAAAAAAAAAGAAAACAAUCGGCCCCUUUUAAAAUAACCCUAGCCCCUUUUAUUUCCCCACAGUUUUCUCCUCUUUUGGUCCUCUGUUCGGCCAAGUUUGGUGCACUUACCACCACAAUGAAUCAAAAAGAAAGCCUCGAUCCCGAUCGGAUUUGGUUUUAACGAAGGAGAACCCCGACGUCCUACCAAUCAAUCAAGUGAGUCUCCUUCUUAUCCCUUUUUUUUUUUGGAUGUAACGAGAGGACCUCUCCGUCCAACCACUAAAGCUCCAUUGCAAUCGGCGAAUAGCGCCAAAUCUCAAGACCUCGCCCUUUUAUUCCUAAAAUCCCCUUUGAACUUCGACUUCAACGAAGGAAAAUGGGUUCGUCACAUCAAAAACAAACUAAGAUAAAAGAAAUAUCCAAAAAAUAAAUGUAAUAACAAAUCAAAGAAUAGAAUCACCUUCUAACUUUUUGGAUCUUUUUUUUUAUUUCGUAUUCGUAUUGUGUGUUCGUAAGUUUUUUGCAAGUACAUUUGUCGGCUUUUAUAGCCGAAUUUACCGAGUAAAAUCAAAAAAUAAAAUUACAUUUUAUUACUGUUAUUUGCUGUAGAUUCUGUUAUUCUCCUUCUCAUAUGUUCCAUUUGCAAGAAAGGCCGUACACAAGCACGAGCGGGGACACGCACGAGGGGUUGGUGGCGCACGUGUGGUGCUCAUCCAAAUUGCUGGCUGCUGCGUGAGAGGGAGAACCCUUAGAGCUUCUAGAACAAUCACCUGGACCAGUCUUUGGGUCGUGUAUUGAAUGGGCUGGGACUUUGGGUUAUUUAAUUGGGUUUAGGAUUUAUGCAAUUGGGUUUUAAAAAAUGUAUCUGGGCUGGACUGUAUAUAUAUAUUUUGGGUUAAAUAACUUGUAAAUGGACAUUGACUUAUUCUGGGCUGUUCAUUGUUUUUGUUUUUAUUUUUUGGUUUUUGGUUUUGUAUGGGCCCGAGAGAAUUGGGCCUAUUACAGCUGCCCCUCUUUGCUCAUUAUCGUGUAACGAGAAUAGAGCAAAGACUUCAAAUAGACCAAUUUUGUCUGGUUUUGCUGAAUCUUGACUAUAACUUUUGGGAAAUAGGACUGGUGGCUCAAAUCUGCUCCAUUGCCGAUACAUGGAGAUAAGAUUCACCAUCCUCGAUGUACUCCUCCACUGCUUAGGGAAAUAGAUCUUCAAUCUUCAGUCUGCUUCUUUGCUACCUCAGGAAGAUAAG